Molecule: ribosomal RNA, 380 nt
Filed under: uncultured eukaryote
Lineage: Eukaryota
Description: partial 18S ribosomal RNA
Rfam family: Eukaryotic small subunit ribosomal RNA
Source: RNAcentral
CAAUAGCGUAUAUUAAAAUUGCUGCGGUUAAAAAGCUCGUAGUUGGGUUUCUGCCGAGGACGACCGGUCUGGGCAAUGCCUAUGCAUCUGGCUCGACCUGGGCAUCUUCUUGGAGAACGUCUCUGCACUUGACUGUGUGGAACGGUAUCCAGGACUUUUACUUUGAGGAAAUUAGAGUGCUUCAAGCAGGCUUCUGCCUUGAAUACAUUAGCAUGGAAUAAUAACAUAGGACUUCGGUUCUAUUUUGUUGGUUUCUAGAGCUGAAGUAAUGACCAAUAGGGAUGGUUGGGGGCAUUUGUAUUCAACUGUCAGAGGUGAAAUUCUUGGAUUUGUUGAAGACAAACUACUGCGAAAGCAUUUGCCAAGGAUGUUUUCAUUGA